Molecule: ribosomal RNA, 497 nt
Filed under: uncultured bacterium
Lineage: Bacteria
Description: partial 16S ribosomal RNA
Rfam family: Bacterial small subunit ribosomal RNA
Source: RNAcentral
GAUGAACGCUGGCGGCGUGCUUAAUACAUGCAAGUCGAGCGAACAGAUAAGGAUCUUGCUGCUUUGUCGUGAGCCGCGGACGGGUGAGUAACGCGUGUGUAACCUACCUAUAAUACUGGAAUAACUCCGGGAAACGGGGGCUUAUGCCGGAUAACAUUUAGAACCGCAGGGUUCUAAAGGGAGUGAUGGUUGUUCUAUAAGUGAUAGAUGCACCCCCGCCUGAUUAUCUAGUUGUUAAUGUAAGGGCUUUCCAAGGCAACGAUUGGCAGCCGAAGUCCGGGGGGGAUCGGCCACAGUGGAACUGGGACGCGGACACGACUCCUACGGGAGGCAGCAGUAGGGAAUCUUACGCAAUGGGCGAAAGCAUGACGGAGCAGCGGCGCGUGAGUGAUGAAGAUCUUCGGAUCGUAAUACUCUGUUACUAGGGAAGAACAACUGUGUAAGUAGCUGUGCAGGUCUUGACGGUAACUGAUAAAGAAGCAACGGCUAACUACGUG